AAAGAUCUGAUAAAAAAAUAAAAAAGAAACUAUGAAAGGGGGAGAAUUAUUUCAUCCUAGAUAAGGUCUCUGGAAAUAUUAGACCGGACUUGCAAAGAGACAAACCACAGAAGUACACAGGGGGGAAAUAACAUGAAAGAGUUGGUAAAAGAAAUCUAGAAAUAGGUGGCUUGGACCGUCAAGCCAUUUUGUAGGCAGUGAAACUAAGAGUAGCCUUAUUGCUCAGAAACUCAAAUGAAUGUCUAAGACUGAUAUUCUAAUAGUUAAAAAGUGUUGGAUCAUUUUAAUAGUGGCAUGUAUUUUUUUUUUUUAUCAAUUUGUUAUUAGCUGAAAAGUGUGCUCAUAGUUUUUCAAAAAAAAAAGAUUUAAAAACUUUAAUAUGAUUGAUAGUUCUAUUUUUUUCUACUAUUUAUUAUUUUAUUUUUAUUUUUAGUUUGAGAAAUCCAUUGAAAAACCAUGGAUAUAAUGAUGAUCUAGUGCAAACUCUCUUGGUAAAGUUUGUGACUUUGUCUAUUCCAAUGACACAGGUGAAAAACCUUUGAGUAGAUAACGUUCAUUGUAGAUUUCUGGUGGCCUUUGCAUUCACAUGGUUCACGAAUCCAUACAAAAUUGAUAAAACUUGUGAAGUAUUUCAAAUCUUCUUUUCUGUUCGCCAAAAAAAAAGAAUUGAACAAAAUUUACAGCAU
RNAcentral lists this long non-coding RNA (686 nucleotides) under Brassica rapa (field mustard). RNAcentral's name for it is "long non-coding RNA (BRAP_LNC005180)". The record is from RNAcentral. Lineage: Eukaryota; Viridiplantae; Streptophyta; Magnoliopsida; Brassicales; Brassicaceae.